Molecule: small nuclear RNA, 22 nt
Filed under: Arabidopsis thaliana (thale cress)
Lineage: Eukaryota; Viridiplantae; Streptophyta; Magnoliopsida; Brassicales; Brassicaceae
Description: snRNA_13560
Source: RNAcentral
UCGGAUCCGGAACCCAAAGUUU